RNAcentral lists this ribosomal RNA (165 nucleotides) under uncultured bacterium. RNAcentral describes it as "partial 16S ribosomal RNA". It matches the Rfam family "Bacterial small subunit ribosomal RNA", at positions 355 to 511 of the family's 1533-position model. The record is from RNAcentral.
UAGGGAAUCUUCCACAAUGGGCGCAAGCCUGAUGGAGCAACACCGCGUGAGUGAAGAAGGGUUUCGGCUCGUAAAACUCUGUUGGUAGAGAAGAACGUUGGUGAGAGUGGAAAGCUCAUCAAGUGACGGUAACUACCUAGAAAGGGACGGCUAACUACGUACCAG